RNAcentral lists this ribosomal RNA (467 nucleotides) under uncultured bacterium. RNAcentral describes it as "partial 16S ribosomal RNA". It matches the Rfam family "Bacterial small subunit ribosomal RNA", at positions 28 to 507 of the family's 1533-position model. The record is from RNAcentral.
GAUGAACGCUGGCGGCGUGCUUAACACAUGCAAGUCGAACGGAAAGGCCCAAGCUUGCUUGGGUACUCGAGUGGCGAACGGGUGAGUAACACGUGGGUGAUCUGCCCUGCACUUCGGGAUAAGCCUGGGAAACUGGGUCUAAUACCGGAUAGGACCACAUUUUGGAUGGUGUGGUGGAAAGUUUUUCGGUGUGGGAUGAGCUCGCGGCCUAUCAGCUUGUUGGUGGGGUAAUGGCCUACCAAGGCGUCGACGGGUAGCCGGCCUGAGAGGGUGUACGGCCACAUUGGGACUGAGAUACGGCCCAGACUCCUACGGGAGGCAGCAGUGGGGAAUAUUGCACAAUGGGCGCAAGCCUGAUGCAGCGACGCCGCGUGGGGGAUGACGGCCUUCGGGUUGUAAACUCCUUUCGCUAGGGACGAAGCGUUUUUGUGACGGUACCUGGAGAAGAAGCACCGGCUAACAACGUG